AACGAACGCUGGCGGCAGGCCUAACACAUGCAAGUCGAGCGCGCACUACAGGGUGAGCGGCGGACGGGUGGGCAACGCGCGGGGACGGGCCCUUUUCUACGGAACAAACCCGGGAAACAGAGAGUAAUACCGUAGACGCCCUAAGGGGGAAAGACUACUCCGGACAAGAUAGGCCUGCGUAGGAUUAGGUAGUUGUUUGGGUAAUGGCUGGCCAAGCGGGCGAUACGUAGCUGGGUUGGGAGCAGGCUCAGCCACACAGGGACUGCGAGACGGCCCAGACUCGUACGGGAGGCAGCAGUGGGGAGUCUUAGACAAUGAGGGCGAGCGUAGGCUAGCCGUGCCGUGUGAGGUAUGCAGGCCUUAGGGUUGUAAAGCUCUUUCAGCUGGGGAGAUAUUGACGGUACCUGCAGAAGAAGCCCCGGCUAACUCCGUG
RNAcentral lists this ribosomal RNA (433 nucleotides) under uncultured bacterium. RNAcentral describes it as "partial 16S ribosomal RNA". It matches the Rfam family "Bacterial small subunit ribosomal RNA", at positions 29 to 507 of the family's 1533-position model. The record is from RNAcentral.